Molecule: non-coding RNA, 87 nt
Organism: Gossypium raimondii (Peruvian cotton)
Lineage: Eukaryota; Viridiplantae; Streptophyta; Magnoliopsida; Malvales; Malvaceae
Source: Rfam
CUCAAGGAAGCGCUUUGUCCACGUGGACAGAAAUUGUAUCCUUGAGGGCGCACUUUCUGUCCACGUGGACAAAGCGCUCCCUUGAGA